GCAUUGGUGGUUCAGUGGUUGAAUUAUCGCCUCCCAUAUGAACAACCUGGGUUCAAUUCCCAACCAAUGCA
This 71-nucleotide transfer RNA is filed under the name Loxodonta africana (African savanna elephant). It matches the Rfam family "tRNA". From Rfam's summary of the family: Transfer RNA (tRNA) molecules are approximately 80 nucleotides in length. Their secondary structure includes four short double-helical elements and three loops (D, anti-codon, and T loops). Lineage: Eukaryota; Metazoa; Chordata; Mammalia; Proboscidea; Elephantidae. The record is from Rfam by way of RNAcentral.